Molecule: ribosomal RNA, 289 nt
Filed under: uncultured bacterium
Lineage: Bacteria
Description: partial 16S ribosomal RNA
Rfam family: Bacterial small subunit ribosomal RNA
Source: RNAcentral
GUGGAUUAGAUACCCUGGUAGUCCACGCUGUAAACGAUGAAUGCUAGACGUGGUAGGUCUUGACCCCUGCCGUGUCGAAGUUAACACGAUAAGCAUUCCGCCUGGGGAGUACGGUCGCAAGACUAAAACUCAAAGGAAUUGACGGGGGCCCGCACAAGCGGUGGAUCAUGUGGUUUAAUUCGAAGCAACGCGAAGAACCUUACCUGGAUUUGACAUCCUUUGAAUAUUCUAGAGAUAGAAUAGGCUCGCAAGAGACAAAGAGACAGGUGCUGCACGGCUGUCGUCAGCU